This is a long non-coding RNA of Zophobas morio, 231 nucleotides long. RefSeq lists it as uncharacterized. The transcript has 3 exons. The record is from RefSeq and is a predicted model, not a curated record. Lineage: Eukaryota; Metazoa; Arthropoda; Insecta; Coleoptera; Tenebrionidae.
GGUUGUCCGGCUUAGUAUUUAUCUUUUGCAGUUUUUUGUUAAUUCUUCUUUGCAGAGAUUUUCUUUUUCACCAUGAGCUUUUACACUUCUAUAUUGAGAAGAAACUCCACUUUUUUAUGUUUCUUUGUCGCGACGAGUCUAAUUGCGGAACAAAUAUUUGUCACACAAACUGAUAAAUUUUUCGACUGGUAUAAUAAGGGGCGCCAGUUUAAUGAUUUGGUGAAAAAGCUG